This 253-nucleotide ribosomal RNA is filed under the name uncultured bacterium. Its description in RNAcentral is "partial 16S ribosomal RNA". It matches the Rfam family "Bacterial small subunit ribosomal RNA", at positions 524 to 776 of the family's 1533-position model. The record is from RNAcentral.
UACGUAGGUGGCGAGCGUUGUCCGGAUUUACUGGGCGUAACGGGCGUGCAGGCGGUUUGUUAAGUGCAGGGUGAAAGCUCCCGGCUCAACUGGGAGAGGUCCUUGCAUACUGGCGAACUCGAGGGAGGCAGAGGAAAGUGGAAUUCCCGGUGUAGUGGUGAUAUGCGUAGAUAUCGGGAGGAACACCUGUGGCGAAGGCGGCUUUCUGGGCCGUACCUGACGCUGAGACGCGAAAGCGUGGGGAGCGAACAGG